This 374-nucleotide ribosomal RNA is filed under the name uncultured organism. RNAcentral's name for it is "bacterial SSU rRNA". It matches the Rfam family "Bacterial small subunit ribosomal RNA", at positions 45 to 433 of the family's 1533-position model. The record is from RNAcentral.
CGCCUAACACAUGCAAGUCGAGCGAGAAUAAGAUAGCUUGCUAUUUUAGGAAAGCGGCGAACGGGUGAGUAAAAUGUUGCUACCUGCCCUCAAGUCGGGGAUAGCCCAUUGAAAGAUGGAUUAAUACCGGAUAGUCUCUACGGAGUAAAAAUUUAUUGCUUGAGGAGGGGGCUUCAAUCUAUCAGCUAGUUGGCGAGGUAACUGCUCACCAAGGCAAUGACGGAUAACUGAUCUGAGAGGAUGAUCAGUCACAAUGGAACUGAGACACGGUCCAUACUCCUACGGGAGGCAGCAGUGAGGAAUCUUCCACAAUGGGCGAAAGCCUGACGGAGCGACACCGCGUGAAGGAAGAAGGCCUAACGGUUGUAAACUUC